This is an RNA transcript of Helianthus annuus (common sunflower), 1937 nucleotides long. RefSeq lists it as uncharacterized. The transcript has 2 exons. NCBI's taxonomy places the organism in Eukaryota, Viridiplantae, Streptophyta, Magnoliopsida, Asterales, Asteraceae. The record is from RefSeq and is a predicted model, not a curated record.
UUCCUUUCAUAUUUUUCAUGAUAAUAAAAACAGCGCUUUAACCUCAUCUUCAAAUCUAAUUUCAUUUCUCUUAAACCACCAUGGAAACUCUUACACCCCCUCAACCACCGUCGCCGCCGCCGUGAAAACCCCGGAUCCAGAAUCGAAGCCACCACAAUCCAACACCGUCACAAAACAACUUCCACCACCGUGAGCCGGAGGAGUCACUUUUCCCCUCCCCCACCACCCACCAUUCCGACGACAAUAGCCACACCUGCGAUGAAAUCGGUACGCCCCCACAACUUCUUCUACCCUCUGAACCCCUCUCAAUCUCGCAACCAAACCUUCCCUCUUUACCCUCUGUUCAUCUCCGACCGACGUGAACGGUGACGGCUAGAGUUUCGCCACACCAUGCGGGUGGUGAAAGGUGAUGGUUUCGCGGCGAUUGGGUGUCACAGGAGUUCCGCUUGGUGAUGAAAGGGGCAAAAACGAGUUUUCACACAUUAUUAACAAGAUAGUGGAGAUGGAUAUGAUCGGGUGGUUCUGCUGGUGGCACGAUGAUACUUCAGUGGUCCGUCAGUGAUCCAAAUUUGCCGUUCAAAAAAAAUAAAAAAUAAAAAUAAUAAUAAUAAUAAUAAUAAUAAUAAUUUCAUUUUUUAUUUCUAUCUUUUUAUAUUUAAGACUUAAGAGAACAUUUAAAAAAGUAUUAUUAAAAAAAUAUUAUCUACUUUCAUUUUUUUAUUUCUUUCUUUUUGUUGUUAAGAGAACACUUUAAAAAGUAUUAAAUUGUUCUUUUUAUUAUUAAGAGAACACUUUAAAAAAAGUAUUAUUAAAGGAGUGUGGUGGGAACUCCUAUUCAUCAUUAUUUUUUUAUAAUUACUUCACAUAAAUUAUUAUAUCUUUAUUUAAUUUUAUUGAUAGAUAAAAAACUAGUAGUUUCUUAAAAUUUCUCAGUUUUACUAUACAAUUUUAGUAGUACGCAUCGGAGUUUCUUAAAGUUUCACAGUUUUACUACAAUUUUAUUAGUAAGCUAAAAAAGACUCGACUCAGUUUUUACAUGCUAGUCAAACUUGACUGCUUUUGAUCAAAAUUAUAAGCUACACUAUCAACUGCGAUUUUAGAGAAAACAAACCAAAGCAGUUGGGUUGGUUGGGUCGGAAGGACCGGACACACUAACGGCUUGGUUGGGUUUUGAUUUUGAUGGUGUGAGAGUUUGAGACUUUGAGUUGAGAUUUUUUAUGUUUCAUUAACUUUUUGGAAAUGAUCAACAUUGAUUAUUUAAUGGUGAAUGAUUGCAACAAAUCAUAAGCAACUUGUGCUCUCCAAUCCAUUCGUGGGUGUAUAAUGGUUGGUAAUGGGGCAAAAAGGUAGUUUCGAUAAAACCUACUCCAAUUUUUUUGUUAAAAGUUGAUGCAAUUUUUAAAGAGAAUAUUCUGCUUAUAAUAAAGAAUUUUAAAGAAUUCCAAACAGUUUUUUAGAUAAGUGUUACAAAGAUUACAAACCUUUUUGACAAAAAAAAAUUAAAAAUAAUACAAAUUUUAGAUCUAAUUAAAUAAUCCAAAAUAAAAGACUAAAAUCAUCAAUCGAAAAAAAUUUUACACAAAUAACCAUGUAGUGGGAAAACUGUGCAGUUUUGAUCCUAUUUUGUUCAAAGUUACAGCCAUGGCCCAUAUUGUAUUAUUGUUCACAUUUGAUUCUUAUCAUUAAUACACAACACAACCCCUAUUUUAUGUGAACACUAUGGAACCCUAAAUGUGUUUUACAUGCUUAUCUCAUACAUAGUUUUGAGUUGUGGCUUCUUGUUUCCGGUUUUGAUCGAGUCUAGUUUUAACUGUAGAAGUUUAAUGUUAGUUAGCGAAUAUAAUCGAAAAAAGUUACUAACCUAGUACACGGUAGGGAUCGCCGAUCUAACUUUUGAAAAUUUUGAACCAAAACCGCAAUUUGGCCUUAGCGUAAGA